CGGUUGUCGAAGCCGUCAAAAAUAAACCUAUUAAACAAUCAACAAUUAAUUUGCAGAUAGUGGUAAUAGAGUCGAACCACAGGGAAUUGACACCAAAGAUUUUCCUAACAAUGACUAAGGCAAAUAAAUGACAAAUAAAUAAAAGAGGGGGGUUUUGUUUUGAUGAUUAAAACUAAAUAGUAAGAGAAAGCAAUAAUUUAAAUAGAUGAGAAUUUCAAUAGGAGAAGAAUUCUAGU
Molecule: long non-coding RNA, 236 nt
Filed under: Manihot esculenta (cassava)
Lineage: Eukaryota; Viridiplantae; Streptophyta; Magnoliopsida; Malpighiales; Euphorbiaceae
Description: long non-coding RNA (MESC_LNC012359)
Source: RNAcentral